AUUGAACGCUGGCGGCAGGCCUAACACAUGCAAGUCGAACGGUAGCACAGAGAGCUUGCUCUUGGGUGACGAGUGGCGGACGGGCGAGUAAUGCCUGGGAAACUGCCCGAUGGAGGGGGAUAACUACUGGAAACGGUAGCUAAUACCGCAUAACGUCUUCGGACCAAAGUGGGGGACCUUCGGGCCUCACACCAUCGGAUGUGCCCAGAUGGGAUUAGCUAGUAGGUGGGGUAAAGGCUCACCUAGGCGACGAUCCCUAGCUGGUCUGAGAGGAUGACCAGCCACACUGGAACUGAGACACGGUCCAGACUCCUACGGGAGGCAGCAGUGGGGAAUAUUGCACAAUGGGCGCAAGCCUGAUGCAGCCAUGCCGCGUGUAUGAAGAAGGCCUUCGGGUUGUAAAGUACUUUCAGCGGGGAGGAAGGCGUUAAGGUUAAUAACCUUGGCGAUUGACGUUACCCGCAGAAGAAGCACCGGCUAACUCCGUGCCAGCCGCCGCAGUAA
Molecule: ribosomal RNA, 504 nt
Filed under: uncultured bacterium
Lineage: Bacteria
Description: partial 16S ribosomal RNA
Rfam family: Bacterial small subunit ribosomal RNA
Source: RNAcentral